GGCACUUGGUCAUGUGACACAGUUCCCACCAAUGAGACGGGAGCAGGCAUUCCGCAGGGCGUUCUGGGAAAGCUCCCAGAAGGGCGGGCGGCUGGCCUCAUGUGGCUCACCCUCUGUCCAUCCUGAAAGGGAACCUGACGCCAGAGGAGCUGCACUGUGACCGCAGAGCAGGCCUCACCGAGGACGCCGAGGGAGGUGGAGGAGGAGGCUGGGCCCACGGGCAUCUUGGAGCUGCUGGGCCUGCACCGGCCCCGCCAGACACCUCAUUGGGUAUAUUCCAGACAAGAAGGUCAACUCCAAGAAAGGAGAUCCAUUAACCAGUGCUAAGCUGCCAGUCGUUAGAGGAGGGAGCUCUAGACGGAGACGAGAAGAGGAUGAAAACUCCCAGUGGGCUGCUCAGGCAAAAACCAGCUUCUCUCCUCUUGGAAUCAACAGUGAGCCACAUCCCAUGAAGGUGGCCGUGUGCCCUUUCUCAAGCAUCAGAGGAUGUAAAAAGGCCAAGGACGAGGGUGUGACGAGGGGAGAAAGAACGCUCACAAUUGCGCAGCCCGAGAACACGACAGAGAAGCUCUUGCGUGGUGGCAGAGGACAGAGAUGUGUGCACACAAGCUGGCCUGCCCCGUUUGCUCCUAUAGCACCAGUAUCCUGCACCUAGUGGGCACCUGAUAGAUAUUAGUUGAAUGAGUAACGGAGAUGCUGAAUGGAUGGUGGCGCUUACUGUUACUCACAGAAUCACAUGAUCGCAAGAUGCCUGCUAUCCCAGACACAUCUAGCUGGUAACCUGUGUUCGUGACUCCUGGCCCCAGAGUGGAAGAUAACCCAAAGGCCAAUUUUCUUUAAUGAUUUGACCAGUAGCUACCCACGUGUCACUCUCUCCGUGGGCACUUAAGCCUCUGCCACCCGUGAGAGACGACAGCUGGACUGGGCAUUCCUUCUUCCCAGAAAGGAGGUGCAGGCCACCCCAGGCCAAUGCCUGCCUCUGCCUGAAAGUCAGAGAAAACAGAGGGCUUUCCGUUCCCACCCUGGCUGCUCAGUCAUCAUAAUUCCCUCUGCGGGCAAGCCUGGGCCUGAAUGG
Molecule: long non-coding RNA, 1075 nt
Filed under: Equus caballus (horse)
Lineage: Eukaryota; Metazoa; Chordata; Mammalia; Perissodactyla; Equidae
Description: lncRNA (ENSECAG00000046921.1)
Source: RNAcentral